UACGGAGGGUGCAAGCGUUAUCCGGAUUCACUGGGCUUAAAGGGUGCGUAGGUGGCUUUGUAAGUCAGUGGUGAAAACCCGGAGCUCAACUCCGGAACUGCCAUUGAUACUGCUUAGCUUGAAUCACGUCGAGGUGGAUGGAAUAAUACAUGUAGCGGUGAAAUGCUUAGAUAUGUAUUAGAACACCGAUUGCGAAGGCAGUUCACUAGGCGUGUAUUGACACUGAGGCGCGAAAGCGUGGGGAUCAAACAGG
This 253-nucleotide ribosomal RNA is filed under the name uncultured bacterium. RNAcentral's name for it is "partial 16S ribosomal RNA". It matches the Rfam family "Bacterial small subunit ribosomal RNA", at positions 524 to 776 of the family's 1533-position model. The record is from RNAcentral.